AGCUCCUGCUUUCCGCUUUCCCCACAAAGCCACAUGGGAAAUAGUCGCAGCCGCGGAUCUCGAAGUGAGAUUUUCCUCCAAAAAAGGGAGGAUUCCGCGAGGAACGCCUCCUGAGAUUCUGGUGAGAUUUUGCGGUGGGCCUUGGGUUUCAGCGCUAUGGACUAGUUCGUUUGAGAACAUGCUCCCUCAGUUCAACCUCUUCCGUCGUGAAGUUCCUGCUGGGGGGGUUGCAUACGGAGUACGUAGUAUAGGGGAGGAAACGUAAAAUGAUGCCGCUCGAUGCUCAGGCCCUGUAUUUAACUCUUGGACUUUUGGCUACUAAAUCGAAUCCAGUCAAUGGAUCUGUCAAUGGAGUUUUGACUUGCCAAUAGGUGGCUAUUUAUCAUCUGAACCAUAACUUCGGGAUUUCGAUAAAUCUACACUCAGUUCCGGAAACGGGGGGAUCCGCCUGGCGAUGAGUUGACAGUUGGUUAGCCCGUUCGGUCCCGUUGUUCCCCGGCCCAAUAAAGGAGAAUGAACUUGCAGAACGUGGGGCCAAAAAAAGCUAUUGGGAACGGGAUAUGGGGAAGCCGGGGAAGCCGCGGAAACCUCCCACAAAAACUAGUCAAUCGUGGAAAAAGUGACACAUUAUGAAAAUCAAAGGGAAAAAGAAAAAAAAAAAAGGAAAUAUGACACGUUGAGAAGGGAACGAGGUAGCCUGAACCCAAAGACCCAGUGAAAAAAAUGGUCGAUCAAUGCCCAACGAACCAACGAC
Molecule: small RNA, 754 nt
Filed under: Histoplasma capsulatum var. duboisii H88
Lineage: Eukaryota; Fungi; Ascomycota; Eurotiomycetes; Onygenales; Ajellomycetaceae
Description: Histoplasma capsulatum H88 hypothetical RNA
Source: RNAcentral